Molecule: long non-coding RNA, 166 nt
Organism: Telopea speciosissima
Lineage: Eukaryota; Viridiplantae; Streptophyta; Magnoliopsida; Proteales; Proteaceae
Exons: 3
Source: RefSeq, a predicted model, not a curated record
GAUGAUGUUAUGACAUUGAGACGCAUUGAUCCAAUGGUGUGGUAGAUCAUGAGAUCAUUGACAAAUCUGCAUUAAACAUUUAAACCAAAUUUGCAUGUUCUUACACUUCACCUUGCUUGUAAUCCAAUUACUUUAAGAGAUGGUUAAAUAGAGAAGGUGAGAGUGG